GACGAACGCUGGCGGCGUGCUUAACACAUGCAAGUCGAACGGAAGGGCCCUGCUUUUGUGGGGUGCUCGAGUGGCGAACGGGUGAGUAACACGUGAGUAACCUGCCCUUGACUUUGGGAUAACUUCAGGAAACUGGGGCUAAUACCGGAUAGGAGCUCCUGCUGCAUGGUGGGGGUUGGAAAGUUUCGGCGGUUGGGGAUGGACUCGCGGCUUAUCAGCUUGUUGGUGGGGUAGUGGCUUACCAAGGCUUUGACGGGUAGCCGGCCUGAGAGGGUGGCCGGCCACAUUGGGACUGAGAUACGGCCCAGACUCCUACGGGAGGCAGCAGUGGGGAAUAUUGCACAAUGGGCGGAAGCCUGAUGCAGCAACGCCGCGUGCGGGAUGACGGCCUUCGGGUUGUAAACCGCUUUCGCCUGUGACGAAGCGUGAGUGACGGUAAUGGGUAAAGAAGCACCGGCUAACUACGUG
This 468-nucleotide ribosomal RNA is filed under the name uncultured bacterium. RNAcentral's name for it is "partial 16S ribosomal RNA". It matches the Rfam family "Bacterial small subunit ribosomal RNA", at positions 28 to 507 of the family's 1533-position model. The record is from RNAcentral.